UUUUAUGAGAGUUUGAUCCUGGCUCAGGACGAACGCUGGCGGCGUGCCUAAUACAUGCAAGUCGAACGCUUCUUUUUCCACCGGAGCUUGCUCCACCGGAAAAAGAGGAGUGGCGAACGGGUGAGUAACACGUGGGUAACCUGCCCAUCAGAAGGGGAUAACACUUGGAAACAGGUGCUAAUACCGUAUAACAAUCGAAACCGCAUGGUUUCGAUUUGAAAGGCGCUUUCGGGUGUCGCUGAUGGAUGGACCCGCGGUGCAUUAGCUAGUUGGUGAGGUAACGGCUCACCAAGGCGACGAUGCAUAGCCGACCUGAGAGGGUGAUCGGCCACAUUGGGACUGAGACACGGCCCAAACUCCUACGGGAGGCAGCAGUAGGGAAUCUUCGGCAAUGGACGAAAGUCUGACCGAGCAACGCCGCGUGAGUGAAGAAGGUUUUCGGAUCGUAAAACUCUGUUGUUAGAGAAGAACAAGGAUGAGAGUAACUGUUCAUCCCUUGACGGUAUCUAACCAGAAAGCCACGGCUAACUACGUGCCAGCAGCCGCGGUAAUACGUAGGUGGCAAGCGUUGUCCGGAUUUAUUGGGCGUAAAGCGAGCGCAGGCGGUUUCUUAAGUCUGAUGUGAAAGCCCCCGGCUCAACCGGGGAGGUCAUUGGAAACUGGGAGACUUGAGUGCAGAAGAGGAGAGUGGAAUUCCAUGUGUAGCGGUGAAAUGCGUAGAUAUAUGGAGGAACACCAGUGGCGAAGGCGGCUCUCUGGGUCUGUAACUGACGCUGAGGCUCGAAAGCGUGGGAGCMAACAGGAUUAGAUACCCUGGUAGUCCACGCCGUAAACGAUGAGUGCUAAGUGUUGGAGGGUUUCCGCCCUUCAGUGCUGCAGCUAACGCAUUAAGCACUCCGCCUGGGGAGUACGACCGCAAGGUUGAAACUCAAAGGAAUUGACGGGGGCCCGCACAAGCGGUGGAGCAUGUGGUUUAAUUCGAAGCAACGCGAAGAACCUUACCAGGUCUUGACAUCCUUUGACCACUCUAGAGAUAGAGCUUCCCCUUCGGGGGCAAAGUGACAGGUGGUGCAUGGUUGUCGUCAGCUCGUGUCGUGAGAUGUUGGGUUAAGUCCCGCAACGAGCGCAACCCUUAUUGUUAGUUGCCAUCAUUUAGUUGGGCACUCUAGCAAGACUGCCGGUGACAAACCGGAGGAAGGUGGGGAUGACGUCAAAUCAUCAUGCCCCUUAUGACCUGGGCUACACACGUGCUACAAUGGGAAGUACAACGAGUCGCAAAGUCGCGAGGCUAAGCUAAUCUCUUAAAGCUUCUCUCAGUUCGGAUUGUAGGCUGCAACUCGCCUACAUGAAGCCGGAAUCGCUAGUAAUCGCGGAUCAGCACGCCGCGGUGAAUACGUUCCCGGGCCUUGUACACACCGCCCGUCACACCACGAGAGUUUGUAACACCCGAAGUCGGUGAGGUAACCUUUUGGAGCCAGCCGCCUAAGGUGGGAUAGAUGAUUGGGGUGAAGUCGUAACAAGGUAGCCGUAUCGGAAGGUGCGGCUGGAUCACCUCCUUU
This is a ribosomal RNA of Enterococcus hirae ATCC 9790, 1559 nucleotides long. It matches the Rfam family "Bacterial small subunit ribosomal RNA". The record is from Rfam. NCBI's taxonomy places the organism in Bacteria, Bacillati, Bacillota, Bacilli, Lactobacillales, Enterococcaceae.